Molecule: transfer RNA, 87 nt
Filed under: Dehalococcoidia bacterium
Lineage: Bacteria; Bacillati; Chloroflexota; Dehalococcoidia
Description: tRNA-Leu
Rfam family: tRNA
About the family: Transfer RNA (tRNA) molecules are approximately 80 nucleotides in length. Their secondary structure includes four short double-helical elements and three loops (D, anti-codon, and T loops).
Source: RNAcentral
GCCGAGGUGGCGGAACGGCAGACGCGCUGCGUUCAGGGCGCAGUGCCCCUUGUGGGCGUGUGAGUUCAAAUCUCUCCCUCGGCACCA